This 68-nucleotide transfer RNA is filed under the name Camarochiloides weiweii. Its description in RNAcentral is "tRNA-Trp". It matches the Rfam family "tRNA". Rfam says of the family: Transfer RNA (tRNA) molecules are approximately 80 nucleotides in length. Their secondary structure includes four short double-helical elements and three loops (D, anti-codon, and T loops). The record is from RNAcentral. Lineage: Eukaryota; Metazoa; Arthropoda; Insecta; Hemiptera; Pachynomidae.
AAAGCUUUAAGUUAAUUAUUAAACUAUUAACCUUCAAAGUUAAAAAUAAGAUCAAAACUUAAGCUUUA